This 710-nucleotide ribosomal RNA is filed under the name uncultured bacterium. Its description in RNAcentral is "bacterial SSU rRNA". It matches the Rfam family "Bacterial small subunit ribosomal RNA", at positions 774 to 1495 of the family's 1533-position model. The record is from RNAcentral.
AGGAUUAGAUACCCGGGUAGUCCACGCUGUAAACGAUGAGUGCUAGGUGUAGGGGGUAUCGACCCCCUCUGUGCCGAGGCUAACGCGAUAAGCACUCCGCCUGGGGACUACGGCCGCAAGGCUAAAACUCAAAGGAAUUGACGGGGCCCGCACAAGCAGCGGAGCGUGUGGUUUAAUUCGAUGAUACGCGAAGAACCUCACCCAGGUUUGACAUGCACGUGGUACUGAGGUGAAAGCCGAGGGACCCUUCGGGGAGCGUGCACAGGUGUUGCACGGCCGUCGUCAGCUCGUGCCGUGAGGUGUUGGGUUAAGUCCCGCAACGAGCGCAACCCCUGUCGCCAGUUGUACUUUUCUGGCGAGACUGCCGGUCAAAUACCGGAGGAAGGAGGGGACGAUGUCAGGUCAGCGUGGCCCUUACGCCUGGGGCUACACACACGCUACAAUGGGUGGUACAACGGGCAGCCAAGCGGCGACGCGGAGCUAAUCCCAUCAAAGCCAUCCUCAGUUCGGAUUGCAGGCUGAAACCCGCCUGCAUGAAGCCGGAGUUGCUAGUAACCGCAGGUCAGCACUACCGCGGUGAAUACGUUCCCGGGCCUUGUACACACCGCCCGUCACGUCACGAAAGUUGGCAACACCUGAAGCCGGUGUGCUAACCGCAAGGAGGCAGCCGUCUAGGGUGGGGCCAGCGAUUGGGACGAAGUCGUAACAAG